AGGAGAUUGCUAUUUUCUUCUGUUAACAUUGCUUGAGAAACUGUUUUCCACUCCCAUCUGGAGAACCAGAGGUACACCAAGGAGUGAUUCAGGGGACCACACAGAGAAGGAGAAGCCAAGUCUGGACAAGGAAUGAUCCCCUUCAGAUACAGUUUUAUUUCCUCCUUGACUCAAGAGACAACACCUGUGGCUCUGUGCAGGACCAGCAACAAAGGUGGGUCAGCAACGCCUGCUCCGGCUGCUGCACCAGUUGGGCCUUGGGCACCACAUGGAGAUGUCACUGUGGUGACAUGUGGGCACCAUGGUGACAUGUGGGCACCAUGGCGACGUUUGAGCCUCUCCCACAACAGUGUAAUUUAACUUGCUGACUGGCAAGACAAAGAGUGGCUUCUCACAGAAAGGGCUGAGAGUGAAAACUUGGUCAGACUGGGACAGGAGACCCUCAAUAUCAGCCAUCUGCAGCAGGAACCUCUUCUAUUUUGGAUCCAGAGGAACUGGCUGAGUUCUCAGGCUGCCCUUCUCCUGGUUGUCCUCAAGAUCGAGGAACAGCUUGGGAUGCUGCUCUAGCAUCAAUAAUGGGAGAAAAAGAUUCACAGACGUUUAUUGAUGAGCAGGAAACCAGAAGUUUGUCUCAUAUUUCUUUGGAGUAGAGUGCUGGCAAAGCCAGUAUCUUUGCAGCCUGCAGCUUUCCAGAGAAACUCUGGGUACUGGUUGAGAGUUACUUAUGACCAUUGAUGGGGUCACAGUGGAAGGAGAAAUUACCCACUGGAUCUGCUGACAGCACCUGACAGAUGGCCCUGGGCAGCCCCACACUGCUCAGCAUGCACCUGCAGUUCCUAUGGAGCAGCCCAGCACCAUUCCAUGUACACCUGCAGCUCUUGCAGGGCAGAUGCUGGUGAUGGGCCAGCACCAUAGCAUAGGACCCACUGCAGAUACAGCAGCACCUGGUUACAGCUUCCCAAGACUAUCAUUAUUAAACAUAAAUCUUCUGGUGAUGUAAACUGAACUCAGAAAUCACAGCAAAUUAUACAAGAUCGA
Non-coding RNA from Meleagris gallopavo (turkey), 1038 nucleotides. The record is from RefSeq and is a predicted model, not a curated record. Lineage: Eukaryota; Metazoa; Chordata; Aves; Galliformes; Phasianidae.